AAGUCGAACGGUGAAGCCUUCGGGUGGAUCAGUGGCGAACGGGUGAGUAACACGUGGGCAAUCUGCCCUGCACUCUGGGACAAGCCCUGGAAACGGGGUCUAAUACCGGAUAAUACCUUCUUCCGCAUGGGGGAGGGUUGAAAGCUCCGGCGGUGCAGGAUGAGCCCGCGGCCUAUCAGCUUGUUGGUGGGGUAAUGGCCUACCAAGGCGACGACGGGUAGCCGGCCUGAGAGGGCGACCGGCCACACUGGGACUGAGACACGGCCCAGACUCCUACGGGAGGCAGCAGUGGGGAAUAUUGCACAAUGGGCGAAAGCCUGAUGCAGCGACGCCGCGUGAGGGAUGACGGCCUUCGGGUUGUAAACCUCUUUCAGCAGGGAAGAAGCGCAAGUGACGGUACCUGCAGAAGAAGCACCGGCUAACUACGUGCCAGCAGCCGCGGUAAUACGUAGGGUGCGAGCGUUGUCCGGAAUUAUUGGGCGUAAAGAGCUCGUAGGCGGUCUGUCGCGUCGGAUGUGAAAGCCCGGGGCUUAACCCCGGGUCUGCAUUCGAUACGGGCAGACUAGAGUGUGGUAGGGGAGAUCGGAAUUCCUGGUGUAGCGGUGAAAUGCGCAGAUAUCAGGAGGAACACCGGUGGCGAAGGCGGAUCUCUGGGCCAUUACUGACGCUGAGGAGCGAAAGCGUGGGGAGCGAACAGGAUUAGAUACCCUGGUAGUCCACGCCGUAAACGUUGGGAACUAGGUGUUGGCGACAUUCCACGUCGUCGGUGCCGCAGCUAACGCAUUAAGUUCCCCGCCUGGGGGAGUACGGCCGCAAGGCUAAACUCAAAGGAAUUGACGGGGGCCCGCACAGCAGCGGAGCAUGUGGCUUAAUUCGACGCA
This 881-nucleotide ribosomal RNA is filed under the name Streptomyces sp. Its description in RNAcentral is "bacterial SSU rRNA". It matches the Rfam family "Bacterial small subunit ribosomal RNA", at positions 59 to 958 of the family's 1533-position model. The record is from RNAcentral. Lineage: Bacteria; Bacillati; Actinomycetota; Actinomycetes; Kitasatosporales; Streptomycetaceae.